RNAcentral lists this ribosomal RNA (257 nucleotides) under uncultured bacterium. Its description in RNAcentral is "partial 16S ribosomal RNA". It matches the Rfam family "Bacterial small subunit ribosomal RNA", at positions 793 to 1055 of the family's 1533-position model. The record is from RNAcentral.
GUCCACGCCGUAAACUAUCAAUACUCGUUUUCAGCGAUAUACUGUUGGAGACUAAGCGAAAGUGAUAAGUAUUGCACCUGGGGAGUACGAUCGCAAGGUUGAAACUCAAAGGAAUUGACGGGGGCCCGCACAAGCGGUGGAGCAUGUGGUUUAAUUCGAUGAUACGCGAGGAACCUUACCAGGGCUUAAAUGUAGAGGGAAUGUAGUGGAAACAUUACAGUCUUCGGACCGUCUACAAGGUGCUGCAUGGCUGUCGU